Molecule: long non-coding RNA, 1437 nt
Organism: Oncorhynchus masou masou (cherry salmon)
Lineage: Eukaryota; Metazoa; Chordata; Actinopteri; Salmoniformes; Salmonidae
Exons: 3
Source: RefSeq, a predicted model, not a curated record
AUUGAAUCGCCACAUCAAGCAACUUUCGGUUUAAGUCCUGGAUUUCCCCUUGUUUUGUGAGAUGAAAAACAAAAUAACAUAUUGUUCUGUCACAGUGGAUUUAGGCAGAGAAAGGAAGAGGAGCUGACGUUUUUUUCCGGUUGGGACUUAUGAUUAAAAGCCACUCAGAGGACAGUUGAUAAUGAGUGUCUCACUGCUGCUUGCACAGUCCAUUCCUCCAUCCCCACUGAAGUGCCCUUGUUGCCACCAGGCUGGGGCCAGAAAGGUCAAAGGCCAUCGUGCUGUGUGUCAACGCUGCUCCGAGGCUCUGCACCGUGUCUACCAGUUCUGCUGGGCCUGUGGGAGGGAGUGGCCUCAGUCAGGAGAAACCCUGGAGGGCCAUGGGAGCCAUUCCUCCUGCCCUCUGCCAGGCUGUGCCCUCAGGGCUGCCCUCCUCUCCCCAGAGGUCAUAGCUGAUCCCUGCAGUUCAGCCAAGGGAUGCCCCUUCUUCAGGGCCUGUCCUGGCUGUAAGGCCCUCCUCACUCACACUGGAAAGGGAUGCCCCAAUAUCGUCUGUCCACACUGCCAUAAAGUGUUCUGCUUCCGCUGCUUGAAGUGCUAUUUUGAGUAUGAUUAUUUUUUGGAGUCCCAUCUACAAUGCACUGUGGUGGGUAACAGUCAGUCUCUCAGAGAGUUGGGAAUGUAGAGGCUAUGGCAUAUGGUCUUUUGAACAUUAAUUAAUGCCUCAUUCAUUAUCACUUGCAAAAGGAAAUCAUAUUGAUUGUAAUUACUCAUGGAAAUAUUACACAAAUUAUAUUGUACAAAGACAGUAAAUUGCUAGGCUUCAUUAUUGUCAAUUUCUCCUCAGUCGUCUGCAUGCUACUCAAGUAAAAUAUUAAUUAAUCCAGAAAUUAUAAUUUGUGUUCUGAGACCAGUCAUGAGUUUCUGAAUAUCAGUGGGGAGGAGAUAGACAUGUUUUUGUGGCCGAUGAUGGGUUGAGGAAUCAUAUCACAGACAGUCUAUAAUCAGGUGGCCAUUUAUAAACGCUCCUCCCAUACACAGAUGGUGAAACCUCCAUUCCAGUCUUAUUACACCUGACUAGUGUUCUGAGAAUGGUCAUAUUUUUGGCCUGACACGUCUAUAUACAGCCAUGUUAUAACUCAAUCAUACAUAACUGACACCUGGUGGUGGCACUUUAAAUAGCCGUUACAUCUGAUCUAACAGGACGUCACCACGAUUUUUAGCACAGGAUUAUUUGCUUAUUAUGGAUUUAAAGGCAUCUACAUUUAAUCUGCACGCUUAUUACUGCUGGAAAAGAGAAUUCAACAUAAAAGUCCCCCAUUGAAACGAAUGCAAACAGAUUAAAAAAAUUGGAAGCAUGCCACAAUUGGACUAGAUAAUGAAUUUGUAGGUUGGAAUGUUGUUGAAUAAAUUCAAUAAAAUAUUAUAAUUAGUUAA